AACGAACGUUGGCGGCGUGGAUUAGGCAUGCAAGUCGAACGCGAAUCCCUGGGCAACUGGGGAGGAGAGUGGCGAAAGGGGCAGUAAGGCGUGGGUAACCUACCCUCCGGGCCGGGAUAGCUUCGGGAAACUGAAGGUAAUACCGGGCGACGCAGCGAGAUCGCAUGGUCUUGCUGCCAAAGGUCCGCCGCCGGGGGAGGGGCUCACGUGGUAUUAGCUAGACGGCGGGGUAACGGCCCACCGUGGCAAAGAUGCCUAGCAGGUGUGAGAGCACGACCUGCGCCACUGGCACUGAGACACUGGCCAGACACCUACGGGUGGCUGCAGGCGAGGAUCUUCGGCAAUGGGCGCAAGCCUGACCGAGCGACGCCGCGUGUGCGAUGAAGGCCUUCGGGUUGUAAAGCACUGUCGAGGGGGAGGAAGCCGCAAGGUUGACCUAUCCCUGGAGGAAGCACGGGCUAAGUUCGUG
This 469-nucleotide ribosomal RNA is filed under the name uncultured bacterium. RNAcentral's name for it is "partial 16S ribosomal RNA". It matches the Rfam family "Bacterial small subunit ribosomal RNA", at positions 28 to 507 of the family's 1533-position model. The record is from RNAcentral.